GAGUUUGAUCCUGGCUCAGAAUCAACGCUGGCGGCGUGCCUAACACAUGCAAGUCGAACGCGAAAGCCCCGCAAGGGGUAAGUAGAGUGGCAAACGGGUGAGUAACACGUGGGUGACCUGCCUUCGAGUGGGGGAUAACGUCCCGAAAGGGACGCUAAUACCGCAUGACAUCCUGCCUUUGAAGAGGUGGUGAUCAAAGCUGGGGAUCGCAAGACCUAGCGCUGGAAGAGGGGCCCGCGUCCGAUUAGCUAGUUGGUGGGGUAAUGGCUCACCAAGGCAACGAUCGGUAGCCGGCCUGAGAGGGCGGACGGCCACACUGGGACUGAGACACGGCCCAGACUCCUACGGGAGGCAGCAGUGGGGAAUUGUUCGCAAUGGGCGCAAGCCUGACGACGCAACGCCGCGUGGAGGAUGAAGAUCUUCGGGUCGUAAACUCCUUUCGAUCGAGACGAAUUCCCUUGGGGUGAACAAUCCCGAGGGUUGACGGUACCGAGAGAAGAAGCCCCGGCUAACUCCGUGCCAGCAGCCGCGGUAAUACGGGGGGGCAAGCGUUGUUCGGAAUUACUGGGCGUAAAGGGCUCGUAGGUGGCCAACUAAGUCAGACGUGAAAUCCCUCGGCUUAACCGGGGAACUGCGUCUGAUACUGGAUGGCUUGAGUUUGGGAGAGGGAUGCGGAAUUCCAGGUGUAGCGGUGAAAUGCGUAGAUAUCUGGAGGAACACCGGUGGCGAAGGCGGCAUCCUGGACCAACACUGACGCUGAGGAGCGAAAGCCAGGGGAGCAAACGGGAUUAGAUACCCCGGUAGUCCUGGCCCUAAACGAUGAAUGCUUGGUGUGGCGGGUAUCGAUCCCUGCCGUGC
RNAcentral lists this ribosomal RNA (858 nucleotides) under uncultured bacterium. Its description in RNAcentral is "bacterial SSU rRNA". It matches the Rfam family "Bacterial small subunit ribosomal RNA", at positions 9 to 846 of the family's 1533-position model. The record is from RNAcentral.